AUAGCCGAGAAGAUGCAUAUCUGUGACACUGAGAAUACAGUAAACCUGCUAAGUGACACAAGUGGUCUUCACGAGUCGUACGUAAAUUUGUUCAAAAAGAAGUGAGCACGAACUGUAGAUAUGGACACUUGGUCCGGACCGUGAAUGAGUAUGACAUACAGAACCAAAGAAGGAAAGAUGUUUGUUUAUCAACAGAAGUCAGAUUGUGAUGAGUGUGCAAUAAAUUAGUAAAUUUUCUGUUUAUAGUUAAAGAAUAGCCUGAUGAAGAGGUGAAUAAACCUCGAAAUAUUGCGAAAAUCCUCGUUUUCUUUCGUCAACUCAACGCCGCUACAUCCAAGAAAAUCUCAACAUUUACAACGAACGGCGAAGAAACAAAACACACAAAAGAUAAUAAUAGUAGCACACGCAAACGAAGAGAGCGAGACAAAACGAUUCAUUCUGCAUUCUGUUCAAUGAAUACAAGCUAUUCCCGAUUGGAACCGUAGCAGACUCAACCAAUUUUCUUCGUCACCCUACAUUGUGAAUGCAUACCAAUUUGGGUAAAAAUGUUUUUUUUUUUCAAAAUCAUUGUCACUCCAUAUUGGAAACAAUUGCAAUCUUUCAAGUGUGUCUAAUUCUAUUAUCCCAACAAAAGUCUCUUUGAGAAAAGUGUGACGCAGUCUUUGUGUUAUAACUUCUAAAAUUAAUGGUAUCGCUCGAUGUGUCUGACUGACAUUUAAAUCAUAAAAGUGACAACAUUUUUCCAGCUGCCCGUCAUGUAAAACCUAAUUUAUUCCCUCAAUUUUGUAAGCAUCUGUUGCAAUGAUGGCGAGAACGAUUGUCAUCUGACUUUACAAAAUGGCCAAUUUAUUUUAUAUAUGAGAAAUUGCUCUGGAAAUUAUUUCAGUAAUAAAACAAAAUUAUGAUUUUGCCUGGAAUAAUGUAAAGUUUCAUGGAGAUUCACUACGAUUUCCCUGAGAUCGCCUAUGGAAAGAUAUAUAGAUAGAUAGAAACAUGCAGAUAAAGGAUAUUUAAAAAAUUUUCUACUUUCUUUUUUUGAGGGGAAGACUGCGUCAAGGCCUCCGCUAACGCUCCGGCCUUGAUUAUAAUCUCAAAAUCUCACAAUGAGAUUAAUUAUAAAAACCCCCGGCAGCGCUAUUUAAAGACCGACAUUUCUUGGAAAUUGAUAUAAAUUAAAAAUAUUUCAGGUUUGAACUUCCUCGUUUAAAUUUUAAAAAAUGAUCAAACAAUUUGUGUGUCUCUUAUUGACAAUUUCUGUUGCUUCUGCAAAUAUCCAAACUUUUCAAGAUUGUGGAUCGUCGGCCAUUGUACAUUCAUUGAGAUUAGGCAAUUGCUGGACCCGAUUAUGUGCAAUACAAAGAGGAACCACAAUGACCAUAGAAAUGCAUAUUACGAAAACGUCCCAUGGUGGUUUUUCUUUACCGUUCGAGGUGUAUGCAAUUCCAGAACACCCGCAAUUAAAUCCAAUAAGAUUAAUGUCAGGAGAACUUUGCAAUGCGAUAUUUUAUGGUGGACGUUGCCCACUAAGUAGCGGGGAAUUUUUUGUUGCAGCAUUUCCACUUACUAUAUCACCUUCGUUCCCAGCGUCGGUACGGGCAUUUAGAUUUGUUGUGGAUCAUAUUGUGUGUGUUGAAGUACCUGUGGUCAUUGGAUAGAUGGAACAUCAAAUUUACUUGAAAAAUUUAAAAUUAAUUGAACGAAUUGGUUACAACUUUUGUCUGAAUUUAUUUUGACAGCUGACUUAAAUAAAUGAAUUAAAAUGA
Long non-coding RNA from Bradysia coprophila, 1763 nucleotides. The record is from RefSeq and is a predicted model, not a curated record. Lineage: Eukaryota; Metazoa; Arthropoda; Insecta; Diptera; Sciaridae.